CCUACGGGUGGCAGCAGUGGGGAAUAUUGGGCAAUGGGCGCAAGCCUGACCCAGCAACGCCGCGUGAAGGAAGAAGGCUUUCGGGUUGUAAACUUCUUUUCUGGGGGACGAACAAAUGACGGUACCCCAGGAAUAAGCCACGGCUAACUACGUGCCAGCAGCCGCGGUAAUACGUAGGUGGCAAGCGUUAUCCGGAUUUAUUGGGUGUAAAGGGCGUGUAGGCGGGAAUGCAAGUCAGAUGUGAAAACUAUGGGCUCAACCCAUAGCCUGCAUUUGAAACUGUAUUUCUUGAGUGCUGGAGAGGCAAUCGGAAUUCCGUGUGUAGCGGUGAAAUGCGUAGAUAUACGGAGGAACACCAGUGGCGAAGGCAGAUUGCUGGACAGUAACUGACGCUGAGGCGCGAAAGCGUGGGGAGCAAACAGGAUUAGAUACCCUAGUAGUC
RNAcentral lists this ribosomal RNA (442 nucleotides) under uncultured bacterium. Its description in RNAcentral is "partial 16S ribosomal RNA". It matches the Rfam family "Bacterial small subunit ribosomal RNA", at positions 338 to 795 of the family's 1533-position model. The record is from RNAcentral.